Molecule: ribosomal RNA, 502 nt
Filed under: uncultured bacterium
Lineage: Bacteria
Description: partial 16S ribosomal RNA
Rfam family: Bacterial small subunit ribosomal RNA
Source: RNAcentral
AUUGAACGCUAGCGGCAUGCCUUACACAUGCAAGUCGAACGGCAGCGGGGGAGCUUGCUCCCGCCGGCGAGUGGCGAACGGGUGAGUAAUACAUCGGAACGUACCCAGUAGCGGGGGAUAGCCCGGCGAAAGCCGGACUAAUACCGCAGACGCCAUACGGGGGAAAGGGGGGGAUCGCAAGACGUCUCACUAUGUGAUCGGUCGAUGGCUGAUUAGCUAGGUGGUGGGGUAAAGGCCUACCAAGGCGACGAUCAGUAGCUGGUCUGAGAGGACGACCAGCCACACUGGGACUGAGACACGGCCCAGACUCCUACGGGAGGCAGCAGUGGGGAAUUUUGGACAAUGGGCGAAAGCCUGAUCCAGCAAUGCCGCGUGUGCGAAGAAGGCCUUCGGGUUGUAAAGCACUUUUGUCAGGGAAGAAAUCGUUUGGGUUAAUACCCCGAGCAGUUGACGGUACCUGAAGAAUAAGCACCGGCUAACUACGUGCCAGCAGCCGCAGUAA